UAAGGAAUAUUGGUCAAUGGACGCAAGUCUGAACCAGCCAUGCCGCGUGAAGGAUGAAGGUCCUCUGGAUUGUAAACUUCUUUUAUCUGGGACGAAAACGGGAUUUUUAUCUCAAUUGACGGUACCAGAGGAAUAAGCACCGGCUAACUCCGUGCCAGCAGCCGCGGUAAUACGGAGGGUGCGAGCGUUAUCCGGAUUUACUGGGUUUAAAGGGUGCGUAGGUGGGCUUAUAAGCCAGUGGUGAAAUCUCCGAGCCUAACUUGGAAACUGCCGUUGAUACUAUAGGUCUUGAAUUAUCUGGAGGUAAGCGGAAUAUGUCAUGUAGCGGUGAAAUGCUUAGAUAUGACAUAGAACACCAAUUGCGAAGGCAGCUUACUACAUAUAAAUUGACGCUGAGGCACGAAAGCGUGGGGAUCAAACA
RNAcentral lists this ribosomal RNA (421 nucleotides) under uncultured bacterium. RNAcentral's name for it is "bacterial SSU rRNA". It matches the Rfam family "Bacterial small subunit ribosomal RNA", at positions 355 to 774 of the family's 1533-position model. The record is from RNAcentral.